CCCCCCCCCCCCCCCUUCCCCUCGCCCGCGGUCUCAACCCAUGAUUCGACGCUCUGUGCGCACGCCUUUUGGCCGGGACCUGCUCGUCGAUUUCUAGUCUAGCUAGUUGAUUUCACAACCAGUUUGCCCCGCGAGUCUGACUAGCUUCGGGCUAGGUUUCGGUAGGCGAAUUGUUCGAUUCCAAGCUAUUCGGCGGACGGUGCUUGAUCUGAAUUCCGAAGUAUAGGAGCGUCAAACGAUUUACUGCCUCUGAAUCUUGUGCCGCGUCCUCGUAGAUCCGUGCAUAACUGAGCAAUGAUACUCUGUUCUAGGACAAGUCAACAGCAUUCAUUUCGCUGCCACAUUUUUUUCCCUGAUGGAAGUGUGAGUAAAUCACACAACUAGUUUGACUAAUCUGAAUCAUGAAACUCAGUGGAAUGGAGCAGUGAUGUAUGUCUGUUUUAUCCUGG
Molecule: long non-coding RNA, 449 nt
Organism: Sorghum bicolor (sorghum)
Lineage: Eukaryota; Viridiplantae; Streptophyta; Magnoliopsida; Poales; Poaceae
Exons: 2
Source: RefSeq, a predicted model, not a curated record